RNAcentral lists this unclassified non-coding RNA (290 nucleotides) under uncultured fungus. Its description in RNAcentral is "partial contains small subunit ribosomal RNA, internal transcribed spacer 1, and 5.8S ribosomal RNA". The stretch from base 1 to 73 matches the Rfam family "Eukaryotic small subunit ribosomal RNA", at positions 1759 to 1831 of the family's 1831-position model. The record is from RNAcentral. Lineage: Eukaryota; Fungi.
GCAAACUUGGUCAUUUAGAGGAAGUAAAAGUCGUAACAAGGUUUCCGUAGGUGAACCUGCGGAAGGAUCAUUACUGAAGAAUUGACCGCGAGGUCACUCUUCCACCCUCUGUUUACCACCCCUUUGUUGCUUUGGCGGGCCGCCCUAGGCCACCGGCCCCGGCUGGUGUGCGCCCGCCAGAGACCCCAAAACCAAACCUGUUAUAAUGUGAAAUCGUCUGAAUACAAACCCCAAUUAUUAAAACCUUCAACAAUGGAUCUCUUGGCUCUGGCAUCGAUGAAGAACGCAGC